AGGUGUGGGUCUACUUGGCGUUGGGUGCUCUGGCUCUGACAGCGAUCAUCGUGGUACCCGUCUGUGCUGUAACUUUUGGCCGUAAACCGCACCCGAAAAAGGUUACCUUCCCGAGUACCAGAAGUUCCCUGGUCAUGAAAUAUACAGGCCGGGACCGUAUGCUGUUCUCAACGACACGGACCUAGAACAGUGCGCUGCGAACUGUUCGACCAACGACGGCUUCGAGUGCCUGCACGUGCAGUUUUGUCCGCACGAAGGAACGCCACUGGGAACCUGUCAUUUGUUCCGCGCCAACACCAGGCUACGCUCCCACCUGUCCCACAGCUGCGAUAUCUACACUCGCGGAGACCCUGCAGAGAUUGGCAUUCCACACGGAGGCGCAUCAUCUCUCAAGACAGGAUUUGGAGGAAGACUGUUCUGGAUUCUCUCGUGCCUGGUUUUGGCCAACAUUUUCGUUGCCUGGCAAUGACAUGACCGCGCCUCGACAGUGGAGCCACCUGCAGGAAAAGUGUUGGCGGCGUCACUGUGAGGACCCGCUCACCCUCAAUCAGCUUCAGUCGGCACUCUGCGCACGUCAUGCUCGGAAGAAUACUCCGCGAUUUGUGCCAGAAGCUCACAAGUGACCUGGGACAGUGGUGCUAUACGUCAAUCUGUGCGCUAAGUGAGAACAGCAAAGAUCCGGGCUUUUUGUUGUCCUUGCACGUCCUCUCUAAAAUGGCAGAAACUGAAUAUACUCAAUGGGCCGGGAAUGUGGCAGUAUAGUACGGAACAGAAAAGACAGGAAAUGGAUAUAUGGACAUAUGCGUUCAAAAGUGACCAGACUUACAAGGGCUGAAAAUUGAAAGAAAGAAAAACUUCGGGGCAAGCGAAGGAGAAAGUGUACGAAAAAUGACUUGCCGAAAAUUUUGUUUGCAAGAUUUGCAAUUCUGUUGUAUGUGUCAGCUCACUUUUUACUCGUUGUACUGCACUACGCAUCAUAAAAUUUCUGCCAAAUCGUAGGUCACAUGUUCAAGAGGCAUUUUACCAGAUCUGCAACAGUACUGCGUGUUUUUGUGCCUGUACUGUGUGACGGGUUGUUGAUCCCGAGUGUACAU
This is a long non-coding RNA of Dermacentor silvarum, 1094 nucleotides long. RefSeq lists it as uncharacterized. The transcript has 4 exons. Lineage: Eukaryota; Metazoa; Arthropoda; Arachnida; Ixodida; Ixodidae. The record is from RefSeq and is a predicted model, not a curated record.